This 2792-nucleotide long non-coding RNA is filed under the name Sus scrofa (pig). RNAcentral describes it as "lncRNA (ENSSSCG00055025780.1)". Lineage: Eukaryota; Metazoa; Chordata; Mammalia; Artiodactyla; Suidae. The record is from RNAcentral.
CACAUGGUACAGCUGCCACCACUGUCCACCCCCACAGCUCUGCAUCUUGUCAAACUGCAGUCUCUUCCUGUUAGAGAGUAACUCCCCACUUUCCACUCCCUGCAUCCCUGGGCAUCCUUCAUCCACUUUCUGCCUCUCUGAAAAUUUUUUUUUUUUCUUUUUUGGCCACCCCGAGACAUUUGUGGUUCCUGGGCCAGGGCUCAGAUACGAGCCACAGUGGUGAUGAGCACUGCGGCUGUGGCAAUGCUGGAUCCUUAACCCACUGUGCCAGGCCAGGAGUCAAACCUGCAUUCCAGCUCCAGAGACGCCACUGAUCCCAUUGUGCCAUAGCAGGAACUCCUGCCUCUCUGAUUUUGCCUCUUCUAGGUCCCUCAGUUGUAGAAGUCAGUCAUGCAUUAUUUGUCCUUUUAUCUCGGACUUAUUCCACGUAAAAAAAAUGUCCUCAAUAUUCAUAGUGUUUGUGAGAAUUUCUUUCCUUUUUACGGCUGAAUGAGGCCCAUUGUAUGGAUGCAGCACAUCUGCUGCUCUGACCACCCCCGGUGGACGCCCAAGUUUCCUCCACACUGUACAUGAAUGAGUAACGCUGCUGUGAGCACAGGUGUACGAAGGAACAGGUAUUUUAUAAUCAAGUUUUUCAAAAGAGCAAAUGCAGAAAAGCCUGUGGAAGCCUAGUCAUCUAUUUUGAUUUUGUGCUUUCUCUCUCUUUUUUUUUUUUUAAUUUGCUUUCUAGGGCCGCAACCAAGGCAUAUGGAGGUUCCCAGAAAAAAAAGAGAGAAACAGAUCAUCUUUAUGUAAAGGGAGCUUGAAGGAAUGGGAGGUUCCACACUCCUGCGUUAGUAAUGGUUCCCUUAGGCAAGGCAAAGGUGGAGAGUAAAAUAUUAAACUUAUCUCCCGAAAUCUGAGCCAGGGCAUGAAUAAACGGCCCUAAGGCUCGAACCCCACAUCUGGGUCACGGGGAAGUCGGGGGUGGGGGGGUCACAGCAGAGGCGUGGGAAGCUUGGCACAGCUUUUCUGUGUACAGUGAACUACUCAGCGCUCUCUCGGUCACCCCUCUCAUCACCCGUGGGCCUCCCGCCCACGUUGGGCAGCCGCUGGGUCGCCUGGUGUCCAGCUCCUUCCUCUUGAGUCUCCGUUCUGCAUCUUCCUGGCUUCUCCCCCGGCUUCCCCCGUCAGUCCUUUUCCCUCUUCCCGCCCAGGCCUGACGCCCCUGGCCCCUCCCUGUUCAGCGUCGCAUUAACCUGCAUUAACCCGCACACCUCAGGCCUGUCCUGUUUCUCGGCUGCGGCCUCUCUGUGUUAUUAAUAGGGCUGCAGAUGAGUUAUGGUGCGGAGCUUUUUUUUUUUUUUCCCCUAGAAAAAUUCCAGCCCAAGUUAUUUUUUCAGGCAAUGGGCUUUCAUUGAUUUUUCUCCCCCCCAGAUCAAUGAUUUUCUGCAGAAAAGCUCCCUGCUAUCCUGUGAAAUACGGGCCUGUGAGAGGGUUCCAGAGCCUCUGAGCUCUUCGGCUGCUGCACUCUGGCCCUCUCACCCACCCUCAUGCAUCCCCCACUGCCCACCCGCUGCACCCCCACACCCCCAGAACCGGCCUUGUCCCUCCCUUUCCAGGCCCUGGACCAGCGGGGUCGGGUCUGUGGGGAGUUUUUCUCCUCAGCCUCAGCACUGGCAAGGAAGUGGACUGGGUGCCUUCUUUGCUGCACUGCUUCCAGGACUUGCAGGGACCAGGGAGGCCAACACGUGCCCAGACUCCCUGGUAGCUGGGGUUCUGGGUGAAAACUGGGUUCUUUUGAUCAGAUGCCCAAUCCCCCCCCCCUUUUUUUUCUUGGCGGGAGGGGGCUUACCUGCAGCAUGUGAAAGUUCCUGGGCCAGGAACCAAACCUGCACCACAGCUAUAGCCAGAGCCACAGCAAAGGCAACGCUGGAUCCUUUAAGCCACUGAUGUGUAAGCGACAGGCUGAAUUUAAAGCAGGACAUGACACGCUAGCUAGCUGGCUAGUUCUCCCCGACCUUACACGGGGGCCGUGGGCUAUUUUCCAUGGGGAAUUGGAAAGAGGGGCUCCUGGAGGGAGGUCACUUUGAGUCCAGCUCUCGUAUUGAGCCCCUGUCCCUGCAAGGGGUCCCAGGACUUGGUUUUCAGGAGAGCAGGAUCUCAGGGGCCUCAGGGCCUUCCGUGUCCCUGCCUCUGUUUUCUGGUCCCUGGUCACCUCGGUGCUGCACACACAUCCAGGACAGUCCUGAGGUGGGGGCCUCCUGAUUCCCCACCUUCCUGCCCUGGGUCCUUGUUGAUGGGUUGGCCAUCCCUGGCUCUCUGGCCCAUUGUGUGCGGCCCGUCGAGUCAGUCUGUAAAGUCAUUCUCUGUGUUAUCCCCUGUCCCUUUAAAAUUAUCACAACCGCCGCCGAGAGUCUGCUAAGGACUAAACGUUUGUUUUCCCGACCAAAACUCUUGGGUCGAAAACCAACCUCAGAGUUCCCGCCAUGGUGCAGUGGAUGGGGUCGCUGUGGAGGUGCAGGUUCGAUCCCUGGCCUGGUGCAGUGGGUUAAAGGAUCCGGUUUUGGAGUUCCCGUUGUAGCUCAGUGGUUAAGGAAUCCGACUAGGAACCAUGAGAUUGCAGGUUCAAUCCCUGGCCUUGCUCAGUGGGUUAAGGACCCGGCGUUGCCGUGAGCUGUGGUGUAGGCCGCAGACGCGGCUCGGAUCCCACAUUGCUGUGGCUCUGGUGUAGGCUGGCAGCUACAGCUCCGAUUCGACCCCUAGCCUGGGAACCUCCAUGUGCCGCGGGAGCAGCUCUAGAAAAGGCAAAA